RNAcentral lists this transfer RNA (73 nucleotides) under Stegodyphus mimosarum. It matches the Rfam family "tRNA". Rfam says of the family: Transfer RNA (tRNA) molecules are approximately 80 nucleotides in length. Their secondary structure includes four short double-helical elements and three loops (D, anti-codon, and T loops). Further hydrogen bonds mediate the characteristic L-shaped molecular structure. tRNAs have two regions of fundamental functional importance: the anti-codon, which is responsible for specific mRNA codon recognition, and the 3' end, to which the tRNAs corresponding amino acid is attached (by aminoacyl-tRNA synthetases). tRNAs cope with the degeneracy of the genetic code in two manners: having more than one tRNA (with a specific anti-codon) for a particular amino acid; and 'wobble' base-pairing, i.e. permitting non-standard base-pairing at the 3rd anti-codon position. The record is from Rfam by way of RNAcentral. Lineage: Eukaryota; Metazoa; Arthropoda; Arachnida; Araneae; Eresidae.
GGCUUCGUGGUGUAGUGGCCAGCACACUCGAUGCAUAACCGAGAGGUCCGUGGUUCGAUUCCCGGCGAAGGCG